GACGAACGCUGGCGGCGUGCUUAACACAUGCAAGUCGAACGGAAAGGCCCUGCUUUUGUGGGGUGCUCGAGUGGCGAACGGGUGAGUAACACGUGAGUAACCUGCCCUUGACUUUGGGAUAACUUCAGGAAACUGGGGCUAAUACCGGAUAGGAGCUCCUGCUGCAUGGUGGGGGUUGGAAAGUUUCGGCGGUCGGGGAUGGACUCGCGGCUUACCAGCUUGUUGGUGGGGUAGUGGCUUACCAAGGCUUUGACGGGUAGCCGGCCUGAGAGGGUGACCGGCCACAUUGGGACUGCGAUACGGCCCAGACUCCUACGGGAGGCAGCAGUGGGGAAUAUUGCACAAUGGGCGGAAGCCUGAUGCAGCAACGCCGCGUGCGGGAUGACGGCCUUCGGGUUGUAAACCGCUUUCGCCUGUGACGAAGCGUGAGUGACGGUAAUGGGUAAAGAAGCACCGGCUAACUACGUG
RNAcentral lists this ribosomal RNA (468 nucleotides) under uncultured bacterium. RNAcentral describes it as "partial 16S ribosomal RNA". It matches the Rfam family "Bacterial small subunit ribosomal RNA", at positions 28 to 507 of the family's 1533-position model. The record is from RNAcentral.